GGUGGAUGCCUUGGCAGUUAGAGGCGAUGAAGGACGUGUUAAUCUGCGAUAAGCGUUGGUAAGGUGAUAAAAACCGUCAUAGCCAACGAUUUCCGAAUGGGGAAACCCACUUAGCAUAAGCUAGGUAUCAUUAACUGAAUACAUAGGUUAAUGAGGCAAACCGGGAGAACUGAAACAUCUAAGUACCCCGAGGAAAAGAAAUCAACCGAGAUUUCGUUAGUAGCGGCGAGCGAACGCGAAUCAGCCCUUAAGCUUAUUGGGCGCUAGUGGAAUGUUCUGGAAAGGACAACGAUACAGGGUGAUAGUCCCGUACACUAAAGCAACCUUUAAGUGAAAUCGAGUAGGACGGAGCACGUGAAACUUUGUCUGAAUAUGGGGGGACCAUCCUCCAAGGCUAAAUACUACUGACUGACCGAUAGUGAACCAGUACCGUGAGGGAAAGGCGAAAAGAACCCCUGUGAGGGGAGUGAAAUAGAACCUGAAACCGCAUACGUACAAGCAGUGGAAGCCGGAUUUAGUCCGGUGACUGCGUACCUUUUGUAUAAUGGGUCAGCGACUUAUAUUCUGUAGCAAGGUUAACCGAUUAGGGGAGCCGUAGCGAAAGCGAGUGUUAACUGCGCGUUUAGUUGCAGGGUAUAGACCCGAAACCCGGCGAUCUACCCAUGGGCAGGUUGAAGGUUGAGUAACAUCAACUGGAGGACCGAACCCACUAACUUUGAAAAGUUAGGGGAUGACCUGUGGCUGGGGGUGAAAGGCCAAUCAAACCGGGAGAUAGCUGGUUCUCCCCGAAAUCUAUUUAGGUAGAGCCUCGCACGAACACCAUUGGGGGUAGAGCACUGUUAAGGCUAGGGGGUCAUCCCGACUUACCAACCCUUUGCAAACUCCGAAUACCAAUGAGUGAUAUGCGGGAGACACACUACGGGUGCUAACGUCCGUUGUGAAGAGGGAAACAACCCAGACCGCCAGCUAAGGUCCCAAAGUACUAGUUAAGUGGGAAACGAUGUGGAAAGGCAUAGACAGCUAGGAGGUUGGCUUAGAAGCAGCCAUCCUUUAAAGAAAGCGUAAUAGCUCACUAGUCGAGUCGGCCUGCGCGGAAGAUGUAACGGGGCUAAACUAGUCACCGAAGCUGCGGAUUUGAACUUAGGUUCAAGUGGUAGGGGAGCGUUCUGUAAGCCGUUGAAGGUGAAUUGAGAAGUUUGCUGGAGGUAUCAGAAGUGCGAAUGCUGACAUGAGUAACGAUAAUGGGGGUGAAAAACCCCCACGCCGGAAGACCAAGGUUUCCUGUCCCAUGCUAAUCAGGGCAGGGUUAGUCGGCCCCUAAGGCGAGGCAGAAAUGCGUAGUCGAUGGGAAACGGGUUAAUAUUCCCGUACCUUUUAUUACUGCGAUGGAGAGACGGAGUAGGCUAGAUCAGACGGGCGUUGGUUGUCCCGAUCUAAGCGCGUAGGGAGUUUUCUUAGGUAAAUCCGGGAAAACAUUAUCCUGAGACGUGAUGGCGAAGUCCUCUUUUGGACUGAGUGAUUGAUGCCAUGCUUCCAAGAAAAUCUUCUAAGCUUCAGGUAAUAAGAGACCGUACCCCAAACCGACACAGGUGGUCAGGUAGAGAAUACUAAGGCGCUUGAGACAACUCUGGUGAAGGAACUAGGCAAAAUGGCACCGUAACUUCGGGAGAAGGUGCGCUGUUAACGGUGAUCGGACUUGCUCCGUAAGCUGUUGACAGCCGAAGUGACCAGGCCGCUGCGACUGUUUAUUAAAAACACAGCACUCUGCAAACACGUAAGUGGAAGUAUAGGGUGUGACGCCUGCCCGGUGCCGGAAGGUUAAUUGAUGGGGUUAGCGUAAGCGAAGCUCUUGAUCGAAGCCCCGGUAAACGGCGGCCGUAACUAUAACGGUCCUAAGGUAGCGAAAUUCCUUGUCGGGUAAGUUCCGACCUGCACGAAUGGCGUAAUCAUGGCCACACUGUCUCCACCCGAGACUCAGUGAAAUUGAAUUUGCGGUUAAGAUGCCGUAUACCCGCGGCUAGACGGAAAGACCCCGUGAACCUUUACUAUAGCU
Molecule: ribosomal RNA, 2053 nt
Filed under: Euplotes focardii
Lineage: Eukaryota; Ciliophora; Spirotrichea; Euplotida; Euplotidae
Description: partial Bacterial large subunit ribosomal RNA
Rfam family: Bacterial large subunit ribosomal RNA
Source: RNAcentral